Molecule: ribosomal RNA, 301 nt
Filed under: uncultured bacterium
Lineage: Bacteria
Description: partial 16S ribosomal RNA
Rfam family: Bacterial small subunit ribosomal RNA
Source: RNAcentral
CAGUAGCCGCGGUAAAACGGAGGGGGCUAGCGUUGUUCGGAAUUACUGGGCGUAAAGCGCACGUAGGCGGCUUUGUAAGUUAGAGGUGAAAGCCCGGAGCUCAACUCCGGAAUUGCCUUUAAGACUGCAGAGCUAGCAGGUGAGAGAGGUGAGUGGAAUUCCGAGUGUAGAGGUGAAAUUCGUAGAUAUUCGGAAGAACACCAGUGGCGAAGGCGGCUCACUGGCUCAUACUGGACGCUGAGGUGCGAAAGCGUGGGGAGCAAACAGGAUUAGAUACCCGAGUAGUCCCUGUCUCUUAUAC